UGGGGAAUAUUGCACAAUGGGGGAAACCCUGAUGCAGCGACGCCGCGUGAACGAAGAAGGUAUUCGUAUCGUAAAGUUCUGUCCUAUGGGAAGAUAAUGACAGUACCAUAGAAGAAAGCUCCGGCUAAAUACGUGCCAGCAGCCGCGGUAAUACGUAUGGAGCGAGCGUUGUCCGGAAUUAUUGGGCGUAAAGGGUACGCAGGCGGUUUAAUAAGUCGAAUGUUAAAGAUCGGGGCUCAACCCCGUAAAGCAUUGGAAACUGAUAAACUUGAGUAGUGGAGAGGAAUGUGGAAUUCCUAGUGUAGUGGUGAAAUACGUAGAUAUUAGGAGGAAUACCAGUAGCGAAGGCGACUUUCUGGACACAAACUGACGCUGAGGUACGAAAGCGUGGGGAGCAAACAGG
Molecule: ribosomal RNA, 403 nt
Filed under: bacterium
Lineage: Bacteria
Description: partial 16S ribosomal RNA
Rfam family: Bacterial small subunit ribosomal RNA
Source: RNAcentral